CAGAGGAGGACAUCUGUCACACGCCGCCUCCACCGCCACCCACCGCCCCACGCCCCGCUGCCCCCGCCGCGGACGGGCCGGCGGCAGGUGAAGAGUUGCCUGAGGUCAGGAAAACCAACUGGGAAGCCUGCAGGAGAUGCUUGUGCUUCCAGCCCUUGAGAGAAGCAAGAUCCCUGAGAGAAAUCAUGCUGGGACAGUGGCACAAGUUCCAGCGAGUGAACCCCACAAGCAUCUCCAUCCUACAACCAAAGAAGUCUGUCCUGCUCCUCGAGGUCCAGCUGAAAAGCUGUAUGCAGAUACCUAGGCUGCCCUCAGGUCCCAACAGGCUCUUGUGUGGCUGCCACAGCCUGACAGCAGGUACAGGAUAUCUCAGUGCACCAAAGCUCUCGGCUGCCUUCUUACUUAUAAACAUGUGAAAAACAGUGAUCAUCAGGACCAUCAGUAACAACAUCAGGGAGAGGCAGAUGCACAUUUACAUGCAGAGGAGAGUAAUUUAUGCUGAUGUAGGUACAGUAAAAACAAAGCUGGUAUGCAAAAUCCUAGUAGGUCUAGGCAAUCCCAUCCAUGGUGUCCACUAAGAGACCAUUGUUGAGGUGUGAUGCUUCACAGGGUGAAGCUGCAGCCACAAUGCACAAUUUAGGGUGGAAGCACAGAAAUCAAAAUUCUGCUUUCUGACCCUGUGGAAAAUGAGGCAGGGAUGCAAAGAUGCAUUUGCUGUUCUUUCCUCCCUCCUUUUUGAUGAUACAUUCUCUCUCCACUGGUUAUGGAUGUACUGAAGCCAUUCUGCUGAUGGAGGGAUUUAUGCAACUGCUGCCUGCAAGCAUGGCCAGGGCAGGACAGAGCCAAAGGGGUUGGGGCUGCACAUGGAGAACAUUCAGGAACAGCUACUGGCAUGUGCUUUAGUGACAUCAGUUGUGACAACACACCCAGCAUGUGGUUACACUCUACAUGCUCCAGGGGACCAAGCAUGGACACAGCUGGGAAAUGCCACCUGGACUGAGCCCCCCCAAAGAAUAUGCAAGAGCUCCGUAAGCCAAACAAAAACUCCACAACACGUUGCAUAUUUCACUAGAAACGGUUUUACUGUUGCUGGUUUUGCCUUCACCUCCACUGCAAUUUAGUGAUCCAUAAAGAUGCUGAGGCCACACUUCAGGAGAGGACACUCACGUCCUUUAAAUGCACCCUGCUGAGUGGCCCUAAUGAAAUCAGUGGGAGCACCAGUCUAUGCCAAAUGAGGUAAGUAAGCCCUAAAACCUCAAAAAGGAGUUUGCUGAAACCAAGAUAUAUAAAUGCGAAUCUAUUGAUAAUAAACAGAAUCAGAAACUGGACAGCUGAAUGGCUUCGCUGACUGCUUUAAAAUCAAGAUUAAAUCAGAGGUUGUCUAAGAACAAGGCUACCUGCUUCAUUGACAGAGUGUGGUACAUCAGAAAGCAAUUAAAUCAGACGACUUAGCAUUUAUUUUUGUUUAAACUGCAGUCAGUACCAGCCAUUGACCAAUAACAGUAUUUAAAUAGCAAGCAAGCAGUGUCACUGUUGGGCAAGAAAAACGAACCAGCAAAGAUUAGGAAAUACGCUGUAGUGGGCAGACAGCUAAGCACAGGCAUCAGUUAUUUAGGGAUUCAGUCGUGCCUGCUGCCCACAACAACAAAAACAACUCCCUCCGCUGUAUUUUCAGCAAUGAGCUCUCUGCCAACCACAACACAGCAGCUGCAAACUUCACUAAAGAUUUCAGCUUAAUUACUCCAGCAUUCCUCCAAGCACUCACAACAAGGACCGAUCCGUGGCUCUGGAACAGAGCAUCCCAGCAGCCUCACAUCUCCCCAACAAGAGAGCUUAGACGUGAAAAGCUCCAUUCAAGCAGCUGACAAGCUUGAAAGCACCACCCCUGCUAUUCAAUCUCCUUCCAGUUCAGAUAUUCUUGUAGGCCACACACAAUGACAUAUUAUUUCUUCUGGUCUGUGCUGGCAUCCUACAAAGCUACAGAAAGCCUCUCAAGCACACUGCAACAUGUUUGUUGCCUCCUCCUCCUGCUCUCGGUGUUAACCAGGACUACAGCAGCUUUGCACAAGAAGGGAGCCUCCAUUAUUCAGCUGAGAAACAUAUAGAUGCACACAUACAUAUUUUAUUCAUAUACAACAUAUAUAGAUAUCUAUAUCUACUGCAAAACUUCCAUCUCCAGGGAAGGCAAAUAUCAAUACUUUUAUAAUGUAUCAUCGGAUUGCAAUGCAUAAUUUUAUAAAGGAUUGUAUUAUGAUUGUCAUACAAAUAAGUUAUAGACAAGAAAAUCUGGGGCAUACAAAAAAGCAUAGUCAUUCACUCUUAUAGACAAGCUCUUGUUUUAUACCACACAACAGAUCCAAAAUAAUUCUUGGACUCCUGCAAACAUAGGCAGGAAAAGAGCAAAGCCCUUUUGAUUGGCACGGGGAUAAGCUGCUGCUCAAGGAACUCUCUGCUCAUGCUGGUAAUUUCCUCUGCGAUGUUCCCCAUGAUUGAUUUUCACAAGUAGGAGUAAAACAGAAUCAUGCAAGCUGGGACACUGCCUAGAAAAUAAAUCUUUGAAUUCAGCUGACAAAAUGAGUCAAACACCAAUAUCAUCGGGACCACAAUACAGCUUAGGUCGCCUUGCCAAAGAGCAGGAGAAUGUACUCAGGAACCACACUCUUAAAGAAAAGCAGUUACUGUUGACAAAAUGUGUUUUUAAUGGCAGAUAGUGCCAGGCUGGGAGUGCUGGUACAGCCUUAAUGACAUAAGUUAAUGCUGUAUCAACUUAAACCCUACAACGUUCUGGAACAAUAGCUCUGAGUGACAGAAGUCUUCUUCAUACACUAUUGAAAUCAAAUGAAAGGGAAAGGGAAAGGCAAAUAGGUUGCAAACACAUCUGAAAGGAAAUUUAAUGGGUGAAAUUCACUGUUCACUUUCCUGACAACCACUUCUUGACAGUUCAUUGUUCUCAUCUUGCUCAGGGCUACCUUUUGCCUACUGCUAAAUGGCCCUGGUCUUUUACAGCCUCUGAAUAAGCUGCUUCUAGCUACCACUGCCCUUGUUAUUUUAAUAAAGAACCUUCUUCACCAUCACAAGGCUGUUUUCCAUUUAAAAUUACACCGGCUGGCAAAUCAGUACUUAGAAGCAGCAAAACAACUUUACCGAUGAAGAUUAAGGUAUCGUCUGCAUUCUGCUGUGGUCCACUCUUUGUUUUGACUAAACAGUGAUAACUUACACUGCUCUCCUGCAGAGUACUUACAAACAAACAAAACCCCUCCGAGGUCAUCUCCUGAUGUUCAGGGACAGAAAGUUUGCUAACAGUGAGUAGCCAGACUUAACGGAGAAUGGACUAAACAUGACACUUCAUUCACAGCUCUCAGCCUUACUGCAAUAAUUGUCAUUGCAAUUAGAGUUAUAAAUACAUUUACAAGCAAAACGUUCCAACAUUGCAUCACGUUUGUGAUAUACACGGUGCUAUUGGGGUAACAAUAUAUAACAACAUAUAAAGAAAGCUAAAAAUUAAAAACAAUCUGCCAGGCACCUAAAAAGUCACACAACAAUAAUGCCCAAAUAGACAAUUUCCCCCCCCCUUUUCCAUUAUAUCCUGUAAACGUAAUUCCCUUCUCUGCUCCUUCUAAAAUGCAAAUCUAUUUCCCAGUCUCACAGCAUGUGUGUUUUCAUACCUUGCUGGUCCACACAGUGCAAAAGAGAUUUCAACUUGUGCACAGUAAGUCUGCAUCAUGAUGCUUAUAUGCAAGAGGGGGAAAACAGAGAUAAGCCAAAGGGGCAAAUGUGCAUCUCUGCCCCAAUUUUAUACUCUGUGGAUGAAAUUACUGCAGUAGAGGAACUACUAUCUAUUGCUAGAGUGGAGAAAUUCUAUCUGAUUAAAAGGAUGAGAAACAAGGAGGUGGGGGGCAUAAAAACGACUUUUUUUUUUUUUUUUGUUGCAUAUCCAGGUGAACACUUUAAAAAACAGCAGCUGUAAAAGCCAAAGCCACACAUACAAUUUUUCCAGGCAAUUCAUUCUCAAAUCUGCCUUCAUUCUUUUCCAGUAAUUUCACAGAAAAGUUCAUAUACAUCUGGAAUGAAUAAUCCAAAGUUACAAAUAGGGUAUGGAGGCAGAUGACACGGGGGUUUUUUGGUGACAAUUAGUGCCACAUAAAGGAGCUGCAGAAGCACUCCAAGCAACCACGACUUGGAAACCCAAAACUCAAAUCUUUCUCCUCCUUUCAAUGUAAAAUAACCUGGUGAAACAUGGAGCUCUUUUACUGACACGUUUGCAGCCCUUCCCUUGAGCAGGGAAAACCAAGAAAGGCUGGCAGAGCAUGUCAGAGGUUUGGCACACGGAAAGCUGCCAUACAGGUCCAUGCACAGGAAUCCCUGGGUAUAACUCUCAGGACCUACUGGUGAAUUGGAUCAGCAUGUGCAGUUUUUGUCUCUCCUGACAAGACAGAGCCAAGACUGCCAGGCUGACACUAAACUCUUCAGCUCAUGGUGAAACUCUCCAGCUCAUAAUGCCCCGGGCCCACGGAGCAGCUGAGCUCUUACCUGACUGACAGAAAGGCGAACUUCAGUGAACCCAGCUUUUCUCCUCACAGGAUUACAUAUUUCGGUGGAGUUACUCUUUGUCUGUAUCUGUAUUUUCUCCAUCUGAUCAGGCCUAAUACAGACAUCCUCUCUUUGACUUCCAAUAGAAUAAUAUUCAGUAAUAACCUACAAAGCGAGGCUUAUAAAGCGAUCGCUUCGACUGUACAAUCUCUAACAUCAGAAGUUACAACAAUUUCCUCUUUCUAUUCCCUUUUUUCUCACUAUAAAAGUCCAAAUUUACAUGUUUUACAAAGAAAGAUUGGCCCACAGAAUUUUGUGGGAAGAGAGAGAAAUUCUCAGGAGAGAGUUUUCUUCAACAUCCAAGACCUGCUGGUACCCACCCUCUGUGGGAUCUUAUUUUUACUGCUUUCAUAGAUUCCCUACGUUAUACAGGAAGUAUCCCUUUAGUUUUUUCACUCUUUGCUUGCCUAAAGAAAACUUCAAGUAAUGCAGAUGCACACAUCUGUAGCAAGUAACUGCUAAUACCUGAUACAGCCUGAGAGGCUGCCCCACUGCAAAGCACUUCAAGAUUCAACCCAAAUAGAAAAUAUAGGUCUUUUCAGCAAGGAUCUUUUUAGCUUCUGCAUUUUAUUUGCAUGAAAAGCACAUAUAGUAUGUUUUGUGUUGAAUGUAACGGUUUUUCCUUCUGCUCAGUGAAUGGAUCAUAACAAAUUAUCUGUAAACCUCUACAGCCAGCAGAUGCAAGUGUGCUUUCUCUCCCAUUGAGCUGUGUCAGAGGGCCAUGAAAGUACAACAUGUUCUCCUCCUGUCUCUCACAAAUCAUGAAAAUAAAGUGGUACCAGCUGCUUCGGAACAAAUAACAACAGCAUCUGUUUUUCCUCAGACAACUACAACUUGUACACCGCUAAUAGUGUUUUCCCACUUUUUUACCCUAUUGUCAUCUCUCUAUGUAAAAGACUCUCAAAUGUGAUAUGGGUAAUGUAGGAUUGAAGGAGUUUCCAUCACCAUUUAUCAGGGUAAGGUGCCAGGGGGAACAGACUGACUGAAAGAGUCAUAAAUGAAGCUACGCUCAGGUUAAAGAGAAAAAAACCAACCAACCAACCGAAAUCCCUUCUCAGAUCAAAUCCUCUCCAUCCCAAGGGUUUCAUCUACCACAUAUGCCCACUCACACCCUCAGAAGCCAAAAUUUUAUGUUUUUCCCAUUCUGCCACUGCUUUCUGGACUAAAGUCAGCACCAUCCCAACAGCUCCUCACAGCCACUCCAACUCCAGGACAGGCAGCAGCCAGCACUUGGCAUCACAUUCUGCAGUUCUUAGCACAUCCCGAGAAUAAAAGGAGAAGAAUGAAUCAGCUCUUUUAGAGUUAUAGCAUAUCUUGGCCAUUAGCAGAACAAAACUACAGGAGACAGUGUUGAUUAAUGCAUCCCUUCUUUUUCUGCUUCUCAGUUAAGCUUACAAAGGCUUGUCUGUCAACUCCUGUUCUUUCAAAUCCCAGCAUACGUGGGGUUUACUAUGAUAUAAUUAUCAAAAUGCAAUUCAAAAAGGUGUUUUCUUGCUCUUCAACAUCAAGUGUAUUUGUAGAGGACAUUAUAGCUCCGGGAAGAGGGGAAAAUAAUAAUAAAUCUGCAACAGCAAGGACAGCAAAUAACAGCAUUCUCAUAAGCACUAACACUUUUAUUUUCCCUACUAAGGAUGAGAUAAAGUUGCACUGUAGGUAUUCAAAGGAGCUUGAAGAAAGGGAAGAGCAAAAGAUUUCUUCUUUCUCUCUCAAAAAGACAAGAGGUGCCUCUGAUUUUAGGGGAUCAGAGUGGGUUGCAGCAUGACUGCUGUUCACCCAGCCUGAAAUGGAAAGCAUUGCAAUACCCAUUUAUUUCCCUUCCAGCUACAUCACCUGGGAGCUGAAAGCCUGUUACAUGCUGUGACCUCUCCUUGUCUUCUUCCAGGCAGGGCUGAGGCUGGUGGCAGAGGAGAUUAGGCUCUGAGCUCCACUGGCUCCAACUGUGUCAUUAGGAUGACUCAUACUGAGGGAGAACUGUGGUUUUUGGUGACUCACAUGAUGGCUAGUUUGGAACUUAAGCCCUGUGGUUCAAUCCUUAGCCUGCAAUCCCUUCAAUAAUCUUUUAAUAUGAAGUUUAGUUCAUAUAUAGGGCCAGCAGAGCUCCCUUCACUAAAAUUAAUUGGAAAUGGAUUGUGAAAAGCCACUCACAUUAAUCACUGUGAACGUUAAAAAGAAAGUAUACUUCUUGGGGUGUUUUUUUUUUUUUCAGUUUAUCUUUUUAAAGCAUACCAGAAGGCCUGCUUACCAAAGCCAGCACAGUGCAGUCAGAACCAGCAAAGGCUUUUCAGAAACCUUUGUAAGCACACAGCAUCCCUGCAGCACAGAGGAAACAAACAUCCCGAUUUUGCCCAGGAUUUUUCUCAGGCAGAAAAUAGCCCUUCGUGCAACACAGUCAUCUUCAUCCCCCACCCCAGCCUCACCUUCCUCCCUCCUGGAAACACAGCUGGAUGGUUUAUAAAAUGUGUGGAAUAUGCCAUUCUGAUUAUUGAUCCCCUGCAGGUAGACCAUGAGAGGCCUCUCUGAAGAAUAAGGAAGAAGAAUUAAAGAAAAAAAGAUAGGCUGAUGUCAACUUUUCUGUCUCCUCAGAUGGCAUGGUGAGAAGCAGGAACAGAGAGCAGACUGGACAACAGGCCAAAUAAAGUUGUUCUUCUGGCUUGGGUGGUGCUGGCACCAAGCCCAGAUCUCAUUCUCCUGACAUCUCCUUUCUGUCCUAUGGCAUCUUUCAUCCGAGGAAAAGCACCUCCUGCACCACCACUGAGCCAGUUCAGGGUUCCAGCUGGUACAUAUGGGCUAAAGUUUGGCAUUUGCUUCAGCACUUCGCUCCACAUCGUCCUCCACCACGACAAACAAAGAGAUUGUGGUGCAAAGGAACUGGCUCAAAAAGUGCAUGUCAUAGCUGAUCCCAAAAUGAUCCCCAAUGCAUCAGUAGAGCUGGUAAGAUUUUGGAGCCUUCCAUGGCCUUACACAGAACAGCUGUCCACCCACAGGGGCCGUGAGACCACGUCAGAUUAAAAGUUUGAGCUUUGCAAUAGAUCUUUGCUGUCCACUUUUAGUUAAAUUGGCAUUAUCUUAUUAUUUCAAUCCAUAAGUUUCCCGAUAUUACCAGUAAAUGGUUUCAUCCUUCGCAUGACAGUUAUUUCAGUUCUGAAUUGCUCCCAAUCAGUCGGCUUAAUUCCAUCAAUAACAACCUAAUAAACGAACUUUAAUCUUGCAGUAACGGAUACUAAUGGCAGCUUACUCUGGAGUAGCCUUUAAUUGAAGCAAUUUAGCCUCAGUACUGGUCACAGCCGAGUGACAGUCCACACCACGGACGUUUUCCAGGUGAGAUCCUGUAGCCCAAGCCUUCAGAGCAAGCCAUGUAAGUGGAAAGAAAUUGUAUUUGUGGACUGAAGUGGCAAACUACUGCCAGAGGUUUCUGAAAGAUUUCUUUAGCCAUCAGCAGGAAAAAUGCUCCACCAGUUGGGAGCAUUUUGCUCCACAGUUGUUUUUGGGUUGUUUGUUUUGUUUUUUUUUAAUAUAGACAGCUUGUUUUAAACAAAUCAUUAAUUCUAUAAUUUUUUUUUCAGUGAAGUUUGGGGAUCAGAAAACAAAAUAGUUCUUUAUCACAGAUGCCAGCACAGAUCUAAGAAAGGAUACAAGAGAAUAAAAUGUCUCUGUUCCCUGAUUAUUCCCCUGGGUUUCACCCAUUCCUCAAAAGAGGUGGUGUUUUCAAACAGGUCCGAUUUCAAAGAGAUUCAAGAAUUAACCACUGCCCUUUUUUCUAGCCCUCUCUCAAGAAUUCUUCAUAUAACAGACAACGUCACGGUUUAUCAUUGUUCUUUUUUAAGGUCCGAGGUUGUUUUUUUUAUUUCCUCCUUCAUCUUCAAGGUUAUUAAUUCCCCUUUUCCUACUACCCAUUUUAAAGACCUCUAAUGAAUGUGACACUGGAAAUGAAGAGUGCAGAUUGCCAGGGUGGUCUGGGCAGGCUUCAGCAGCCCAAGCGAGCGACUGCUCCGAGGCGACUCGAGUGCUGCCAGCACAAAUGCUCCACGAGCCUGGGAGAAGACAGAUGCUGCCAUUUUAUUACUGUCUUCUAUAAAUGAGGCCUCUCAUUAAAUCCAGGAAGAAAACAGGGACUGGUACAACGUAAAAAAUUGAAAAGACAUGGGAGCAUUUUGAGGAAAGCAAUUUACAGUGAAAAUAGAGUCGCUGUAGAUGUAAAACCACAGUCAGACUUCAGAUGACGUAGAGAAAAACCUUAAUGCUUUCCUCAAAGAUGCAUGUAUCAAAAUUUUCUCCACUGGUGCCAUAUUUAACCAGUGUUAAGUGAUCAGACUGUAAAAUGCUUAAUCUAUUAACUUCUCUGAGGCAUUUUCUAGCCAGAGAAAGAAACACUGAGCUGUAACAGCAGCUAUCACAUUUUUUAACUGAUAAAUUGAAUUAAUUACUGCAGACAUUUAAAUUUCAUAGCAUAAGAUAAGGACAGAAAUGUUAACAUCCAGAUAUUUCUAUCACCAAAGGGAAGUGCUAAAUUUUUCAAGUCAAUAUUCCCAUGGCAACUUUGUUACCGCCAACAACGGAACAUGAGACAAUGACACAGAUUCAGUGUGUAAGAUAUGAGGGAGAAAGAGAGUAUCUAAAUGCUUGCAAUUUUUUAAUUCAGAGAAGGUCAGAAAAAUGACAGAUGUGCCCCUACAGUGAAGACAGCACGUGCUGUGUAAUGGGAACCCCUUUGCAUCCAUUGACAUGCCCGGGAAAAGGUUACUUGAAGGUUAUGAAAUAAUGGCUUCAAUUAGAUUUCUAAACUGGAGAAGACAACCAUCUAUGUGGAAUGGUUGAGGAGCAGGGUAAUCUCACAUGACACCAGAAUGCAGGCUGGACAAUGCAUCUCCUCAGUUUUAGGAUGCAAAACUACUUGAACCUCUUGCCCUCUUGUUAUUCCCACUGACAGAGUCCUGCCUGUGCCUAUAGACUUUAGCAAUGGAAAAAGAAAAUCAGGAGUAACUCAAUGCAUUACAACAACCUUCUUCACGUGGAUCUUUAAAACUUGCAAGAACAUUUCAGGGAAUUUUAGAAAACAAUAAUUAAAACUAUAUUAUUCAUAGGCAUUUUCAAAUUUUUUUCUUUUGGUCUAAUAUUUCUGUUUCUUCCAGUUUUCUACUCCAAGCAGACUUUGCUCUUAAUAAAAGCCUUUUGAUCUUCUGCCUUAUAACCAAAUUAACUUUCCCUUUCCCACAUUUCUAUAAAUCCAUUUCCCCUAGAGACUCAAACAUAAUUACCUCAAGCUGUAAACUUGAGAUAUUUCAGCAACAAAAUCGUUAAGUAAAUUCAUAGUCUGGGGAUGGGUGCAUGUACCUACUUAAAAAAAUGUUUGUGUUUCAGCAAACACAUAUGCAGGAAAGAUCACAAAAAUUGCAGCAUUUAUUCCCUGUCUUGAGGUAUCUGCUUAUGCCUCUAUAUACAACAGGUAAUUUUUUCAGCAGCCAAAGCAGGUUUUUAUUUUUACUAUUAAAGAACAAUAACAAGACAAUAGUAGGUUAAAUUCAGAUAAAUCCUUGAAGAAAUUUGAUAGAAAAUGAGAAUUGUCUCUGAAAUUUUGGAAAGAUUUACAUAAUGUGUGGGAACAGCCUUCCACAAGUUCCGACUGAAGAGACAAACCCACACAUGACGCAGGGAAAAAAAGUGACAGAAGUCACACAGAACAAAUUGUACCCAAAUGUGACCAUUUCCUCCUUGAGUAGAGGGAAAGGGGAGAAAUAAGAUUCCCAUUUGAUGUGGUUCCCUGUGGUGAGGAACUCCAGUCAACACAGAUCCCCAGGGUUCCCGCACCGAUACCACAGAAAUUAAAUGAGACACUGGUUUCUUCCUGUCCCUGCCAAUCUGCCAUCAGCACAGCUACACCGAGAUCUGGGGCCACCAAGCAUCUGACAUUAGCUUUGCACACAAGGAAAAACAAGGUCAAGUAACCUGAGAUUCCCACAGCAUCUUAUGAACCACCUCAUGAGGAUAUGAACGGCUUGGAAAAGCCAAUACUGUCUGCCAUGGUUUGAAAUUGGCCCCCCAGUCUGAGAAAGGACUCAAAGCUACUUUCUUGGACUUUGUGAGAAGAAAAACUGCAGUAAACAGCUGAAGGUUGGUUAGGGAGUGUUUCAGGGGCCCAGAACACUCCCACAAGACAGAGACUGAGUUACAUAUCAGCCUUGAAAGGCUGCUCCUGGACUGAAGUUAAAGGGAGGAGCUCAAAGGACUGAUAGAAAUGUUUUAUAUAUAUAUAUGUAUAGUUGCU
Long non-coding RNA from Pseudopipra pipra, 10852 nucleotides. RefSeq lists it as uncharacterized. The transcript has 3 exons. NCBI's taxonomy places the organism in Eukaryota, Metazoa, Chordata, Aves, Passeriformes, Pipridae. The record is from RefSeq and is a predicted model, not a curated record.